This 433-nucleotide ribosomal RNA is filed under the name uncultured bacterium. RNAcentral's name for it is "partial 16S ribosomal RNA". It matches the Rfam family "Bacterial small subunit ribosomal RNA", at positions 29 to 507 of the family's 1533-position model. The record is from RNAcentral.
AACGAACGCUGGCGGCAUGCCUAACACAUGCAAGUCGAACGAGACCUUCGGGUAUAGUGGCGCACGGGUGCGUAACGCGUGGGAACCUGCCCUUAGGUUCGGAAUAACUCCCCGAAAGGGGUGCUAAUACAGGGUAAUAUCUUCGGACCAAAGAUUUAUCGCCUUUGGAUGGGCCCGCGUUGGAUUAGCUAGUUGGUAGGGUAAAAGCCUACCAAGGCGACGAUCCAUAGCUGGUCUGAGAGGAUGAUCAGCCACACUGGGACUGAGACACGGCCCAGACUCCUACGGGAGGCAGCAGUGGGGAAUAUUGGACAAUGGGCGAAAGCCUGAUCCAGCAAUGCCGCGUGAGUGAUGAAGGCCUUAGGGUUGUAAAGCUCUUUUACCCGGGAUGAUAAUGACAGUACCGGGAGAAUAAGCUCCGGCUAACUCCGUG